AUUCACUUAAGUUUAGAGAUGCACCAAAUCCAGAUUUUUGGGGUUUGGCCGAAUUCCAAAUCCAAAACCGAAAACCGAAUCCUACUCCCAUCCUCACUGUGACUGUCCGUCCUUUGCCAUACCUGAAGUUGCUGCAUUUUGAAUCGCCUCCUUUUGACUGAAAGUACUGCCAACAACACUUUUUCUGCUCACAAGUUCCAUUUUCACUUCUCACAGCCUACUGCAUUGAAUGGUCCACCUACAUAAACACCUUCCCGUAAUCAACGGUGGCGUCAUUAUGUCGACCAGCAUAGAACGCCUAGUGCAAGCGUAGGGUUAGGUGGAAA
Etheostoma spectabile (orangethroat darter) is the source of this 326-nucleotide long non-coding RNA. RefSeq lists it as uncharacterized. NCBI's taxonomy places the organism in Eukaryota, Metazoa, Chordata, Actinopteri, Perciformes, Percidae. The record is from RefSeq and is a predicted model, not a curated record. The transcript has 2 exons.